UACAGAGGGUGCUAGCGUUGUUCGGAAUCAUUGGGCGUAAAGGGCGUGUAGGCGGUUUGUUAAGUCAUGUGUGAAAUCCCUCGGCUCAACCGGGGAACGACGCAUGAAACUGGCAAGCUAGAGUACCAAAGAGGGGGGUGGAAUUCCCGGAGUAGCGGUGAAAUGCGUAGAUAUCGGGAGGAACACCUGUGGCGAAGGCGGCCCCCUGGUUGGAUACUGACGCUGAUACGCGAAAGCGUGGGGAGCAAACAGG
RNAcentral lists this ribosomal RNA (253 nucleotides) under uncultured bacterium. RNAcentral describes it as "partial 16S ribosomal RNA". It matches the Rfam family "Bacterial small subunit ribosomal RNA", at positions 524 to 776 of the family's 1533-position model. The record is from RNAcentral.